Molecule: long non-coding RNA, 2424 nt
Organism: Patiria miniata (bat star)
Lineage: Eukaryota; Metazoa; Echinodermata; Asteroidea; Valvatida; Asterinidae
Exons: 4
Source: RefSeq, a predicted model, not a curated record
GUGACGAUGUACAUGUACUGACAGUGUUGCCAAACUCAAAUGUAUCGGCCUGCCCGAACGACACCGUGCACUGGUUUUGCCAUCUCGAUUCUGCUGUAGUCACUCCUAAGUGGAAUUGGCCUAUAUUGGCAAGUGACCUGAUCGAGAUAACGAACAUAUCAACUAAUGAUGUGCUACAAAUGGACGUUAUUGUGCAGAGCGACAGCGUAGGGAGCUACAGCUGCACGGUGGAUGUUGGAGGCAGAGUGUUGACUAAACAAGUUGAACUCACUAUGAAAAUCUGCUUAUUAACACCCGAGAAUCUAUGUGCACGCUUGGAAGAGUAUAACACUCUUAAAGCGCAGAGUGCGGCUUUGCACAGGAACUAUGGGGACGGAACGGGAACGUGUUCUGUGAAAGUGCAGGAUUGCGCAACAUGUCCAUGAUCGCCAUAGUAUCUUUUCUUCAACAUUGAGCAUUUAUAAAUGAAUGAAGGUCUGCAUGUUAUUUUUUCCUUUUAUUUUUAAGUUUAUCAGCAGACACAAUCGGUGGGAAUAAUCCAGAACUGCAAAAAAAACGAUCAUUUUUGGAGAUGCUGUGUAGAAAAAUUGGCCAAGUGCAGAAAAUGAUUGUUUGUUUUGAUUUAUAUAAAAACAUAAACAAAUUUUACAAUGAGCUUGCAACUUGUGGUCGGGUAAUUUUUGCUUGACUGGGCCCCAUGAACAGUGGGUUUUUACUUUUCAGUUUUGAUUGGAUCUUUGGUCUAUUUGAAAGGCUUAAGUUCAUAUAAUAACUACAUGCAUAGUCGGAUAUAUCAUUUAUUUGCAUAAAUUGAAUACGCAGAGAACGCAGCUAGUAAAUUGUUCAUGUACAAAAAGAUGACUACAUUUAUUCAUUAACCAUCACCUGCUUUGAUGCACCGAAUUCCAUUAUCUACUUUGUUGGAGUUUGUAUUUUGAUAUUGUUAAUUUGAUUUUAAUAGCUUCAGCAUUCCUUUUGUACAGCCCUUUUAACACUUCUUAUACUUCAAUGCAACGUGUUUUGUUUAUCCAAAAACCUCUGCCAUGUAACUUUUAAUUUUCUUUGAAGUAAUUACUGCAUGUCACUUAAUGACCAAAGGGUUACAGACAACACAGAAAACACAAAGUGAGUAACUGGACUCAAUAUCGUUAAAAAUGAGGCAUUUUGUCGCUGUAGUGACACACUUUGAGCCAAAGUGUGCCACUACACGGACAAAAUGACUCAUUUUUUACGAUAAUGAGUCAUAUUUCUCACUUUGUGUUUUCUGUGAAGUAAAAGGAACGUUUACUUACGAAUACUUUUAACAAUAUUCUGUUUAAUUAUUCUGUUUAAUUUUGAUAAACCCCGUAUGCUGUGGUCGAGGAGCCAUGUUGAGUUAAAAAUGCAGCCGUGGGUGUCGGAAAAGAGUGGAGUUAGGUUAGGCUGUGAAUACAUGCAUCUAGAUGCAAGCAGAAACCCAAGUGAAGAGUCCCGCAGUGCACGUUAUCAAAUCUGUCGUAAUGGUGUGAAGCUAUUGCAGCACAAUCUUAAUCAUUAUAGGAAUAAUCUGGUUGCCCUUGCGCCCAUCCCGGGAAGGGCUCGCUGCUGUCCUGACCGACACACUCCCAAGUGCCUUCAACUUCUUUGUCAUUGCAAGCAAUCAAGGCGCAGUAAUCAGUGUUCUUCUUUCGAGCCAAAUCUGACAAGAUGCUCAUUUCUUCGAGCGAGCAAGCAGCGGCCAUUUUGCCUCCCAUGUCUUGGCAAGCUGACUUGACACGUUUGCUUUGAAAGAGUGAAGCAAUAAUAGGCGUUCUGGAGCAAUUGCCACUGUGGCGGUGGCAACUGACCAUUGCAAUGCAUUGACAGUUGAAGUGAUUGCUACAACGCCAGAAACGUUGAAUAAGAACAUAGUCAUAAUUUAGGAAGAUGGUUUGAGAACUUUUCAUUUUCUUGUUAACCAGUCAAGAAUCUAAGUAUUGAGGUAGACUGAUGCGGAAUAAAAACUGGUGGUCGCGCUGAAGGAAAGUGAGUUUUUCUAUGUAUAUAAUGACGCCAAAUAUCAUAAAGGUGGCAAACAAUAGAUCCUGUCGUCAUGGUCACUUUAUUCCAGCGUUCGUCAAAUAAUAGUAAGGGGCCGAGAAAAUUAACCUCUAUGGCAUUACGUCCUGUUCACUGGUUUCAAAUAAUCAUUUAGAAUCAGGUGGACAAAAUUCAUCAGUGUGGGGAAGGGCCUGUAAGCGAGGCAUUACACUGGGCAACUGAGCAACAAAAACAGGUACCAUGUUCAGCCAUGACCUAUUUUGCACCGCUUUGUUAGUAAAAAUUGAAGGGGCACUAAGUCCUGAAAUCCCCGAAAAUUUGAUGUUUUGCAUUGUUUACUUAUCCUAUUUCAAACAUGUGGUUGAAAGGAAAACAACCUAAUGUCUUACCGUUCCCGAGAAAAGA